UGUAGGAGUGAGCCUGCUCGCGAUAGCGGUUAUUCAGACACGCCUUCUAACUGACACACCGCUAUCGCGAGCAGGCUCACUCCUACA
This 87-nucleotide unclassified non-coding RNA is filed under the name Pseudomonas moraviensis. Lineage: Bacteria; Pseudomonadati; Pseudomonadota; Gammaproteobacteria; Pseudomonadales; Pseudomonadaceae. The record is from RNAcentral.